Molecule: ribosomal RNA, 252 nt
Filed under: uncultured bacterium
Lineage: Bacteria
Description: partial 16S ribosomal RNA
Rfam family: Bacterial small subunit ribosomal RNA
Source: RNAcentral
UACGUAGGUCCCGAGCGUUGUCCGGAUUUAUUGGGCGUAAAGCGAGCGCAGGUGGUUUAUUAAGUCUGGUGUAAAAGGCAGUGGCUCAACCAUUGUAUGCAUUGGAAACUGGUAGACUUGAGUGCAGGAGAGGAGAGUGGAAUUCCAUGUGUAGCGGUGAAAUGCGUAGAUAUAUGGAGGAACACCGGUGGCGAAAGCGGCUCUCUGGCCAGUAACUGACACUGAGGCUCGAAAGCGUGGGGAGCAAACAGG